Molecule: ribosomal RNA, 765 nt
Filed under: uncultured Streptococcus sp.
Lineage: Bacteria; Bacillati; Bacillota; Bacilli; Lactobacillales; Streptococcaceae
Description: bacterial SSU rRNA
Rfam family: Bacterial small subunit ribosomal RNA
Source: RNAcentral
GACGAACGCUGGCGGCGUGCCUAAUACAUGCAAGUAGAACGCUGAAGAGAGGAGCUUGCUCUUCUUGGAUGAGUUGCGAACGGGUGAGUAACGCGUAGGUAACCUGCCUUGUAGCGGGGGAUAACUAUUGGAAACGAUAGCUAAUACCGCAUAACAAUGGAUGACACAUGUCAUUUAUUUGAAAGGGGCAAUUGCUCCACUACAAGAUGGACCUGCGUUGUAUUAGCUAGUAGGUGAGGUAACGGCUCACCUAGGCGACGAUACAUAGCCGACCUGAGAGGGUGAUCGGCCACACUGGGACUGAGACACGGCCCAGACUCCUACGGGAGGCAGCAGUAGGGAAUCUUCGGCAAUGGGGGCAACCCUGACCGAGCAACGCCGCGUGAGUGAAGAAGGUUUUCGGAUCGUAAAGCUCUGUUGUAAGUCAAGAACGAGUGUGAGAGUGGAAAGUUCACACUGUGACGGUAGCCUACCAGAAAGGGACGGCUAACUACGUGCCAGCAGCCGCGGUAAUACGUAGGUCCCGAGCGUUGUCCGGAUUUAUUGGGCGUAAAGCGAGCGCAGGCGGUUUGAUAAGUCUGAAGUUAAAGGCUGUGGCUCAACCAUAGUUCGCUUUGGAAACUGUCAAACUUGAGUGCAGAAGGGGAGAGUGGAAUUCCAUGUGUAGCGGUGAAAUGCGUAGAUAUAUGGAGGAACACCGGUGGCGAAAGCGGCUCUCUGGUCUGUAACUGACGCUGAGGCUCGAAAGCGUGGGGAGCGAACAGG